GUGCCAGCCGCCGCGGUAAUACGGAGGGUGCAAGCGUUAAUCGGAAUUACUGGGCGUAAAGCGCACGCAGGCGGUCUGACAAGUCGGAUGUGAAAUCCCCGGGCUCAACCCGGGAACUGCAUUCGAAACUGUCAGGCUGGAGUCUUGUAGAGGGGGGUAGAAUUCCAGGUGUAGCGGUGAAAUGCGUAGAGAUCUGGAGGAAUACCGGUGGCGAAGGCGGCCCCCUGGACAAAGACUGACGCUCAGGUGCGAAAGCGUGGGGAGCAAACAGGAUUAGAUACCCUGGUAGUCCACGCUGUAAACGAUGUCGACUUGGAGGUUGUGCCCUUGAGGCGUGGCUUCCGGAGCUAACGCGUUAAGUCGACCGCCUGGGGAGUACGGCCGCAAGGUUAAAACUCAAAUGAAUUGACGGGGCCGCACAAGCGGUGAGCAUGUGGUUUAAUUCGAUGCAACGCGAAGAACCUUACCUGGUCUUGACAUCCACGGAAGUUUUCAGAGAUGAGAAUGUGCCUUCGGGAACCGUGAGACAGGUG
This 533-nucleotide ribosomal RNA is filed under the name uncultured Trabulsiella sp. RNAcentral describes it as "bacterial SSU rRNA". It matches the Rfam family "Bacterial small subunit ribosomal RNA", at positions 505 to 1040 of the family's 1533-position model. The record is from RNAcentral. Lineage: Bacteria; Pseudomonadati; Pseudomonadota; Gammaproteobacteria; Enterobacterales; Enterobacteriaceae.